GAGAGAGAAGGAGGCUGGAGGCAAGAAGAGUGUCCCUGGAGAGCUGAGUUUGCCUGGAAGGGGGCGAGUGCCUGGACAACGUCCCUGGGAGCUGCGGCACCAGGCCGGGCGCUGGGUUUUGGCUCUUCCGGGCUGUGGGGCUGCACCGCUGCCUGCCCCGAUGCCCUGCCAGGGCUCAGGCGGCAGCACAGCCGGGAGAGGGAGAUCGGCUGCCGGGGCCGCCUGCGACCUUCUCGUCGGCCUUCUGUCUCCGCAGGGAGAAAACUCCUUUGGGCCCUUUGGCUCCAUGGUGGGACUGCUGGCGCCUUUGGUCUGCGACUCGCUGGCCACGUCCCGCCAGCAGGCAGGAGCCUGCCUCGGCCACCUCCUCCGCAUACGAGCUCCCAGGAGACCAUGCAGCGGUCAGACGGCAGCAGUGAACGUUUCCCCACUCUCAGCUGGUGCCGUUCCGGGUGUGCAGAUAAGUGGUGCUGGGGAACCGGGCUAGUCCUCCCUGGGGCUUUGUGGGGCAGGGGCUGAAGUGUCCCCACUGAGCGGGAGCUGCUGUCGCGCAGCAGGGAAGCAGGCUGUGGGAGCUGGGGAGCGGGGGUCUGUGGGGCCCUGUGCAGUCUCUGCCUGGGGGCUGCAGUCCCUCCUGCCCUCUGGCCAGCUGCAGGCAGUGGUACUGGGACCCUGCUACCUGCCUGGUUGCUCAGCUACUGAGGCCAGGGAGCUCAUACCACUCCUGUAGCUGAGUGUCAGUGCGGGUUUGGGGCAGCAGCCACUUGUUCCUGGAGGAUCCUGAACAGCACAGCAUCUGCAGUUACUGCUCUGCUUGCGGCUGCCUCCAAGCACAAACAGCGCCAGGCCUGCUGGAGGAGAAAAGCCCUUCCUGCCUGCCUGGGCUGUCCUCCGUGCAGAGGUGGUGAAGCAGCCACUGCCCCUGGUCUUGGGGGAUUGGGCUGCAGGGACAGUCACUGCUGGCAGAGUGAAAUAAAGUCCGAACRGCCAGAGCCUAGUGACUGCCC
RNAcentral lists this long non-coding RNA (1007 nucleotides) under Apteryx owenii (little spotted kiwi). RNAcentral describes it as "lncRNA (ENSAOWG00000018918.1)". The record is from RNAcentral. Lineage: Eukaryota; Metazoa; Chordata; Aves; Apterygiformes; Apterygidae.